RNA transcript from Lactuca sativa (garden lettuce), 2077 nucleotides. It is a transcript of the gene named ubiquitin-like-specific protease ESD4, with no coding region annotated. The record is from RefSeq and is a predicted model, not a curated record. Lineage: Eukaryota; Viridiplantae; Streptophyta; Magnoliopsida; Asterales; Asteraceae.
AACACCCAGCCGGUAAGACAUUCGCAGCUGAAAUCAACGUCAAUUUAUCCCAGCACAAAACUAUUUACUCCAAUCUUACGAGCCCUAACUUUACGCCAAAUUCACAAUCCUUUCCUAUUCUAGGGUUUUAGAUUUUCAAUUUGUUGCUGUUUGUAUGUUAACAUACAAUUGCUUGACAGAAAUUCUUCCUAGGGUUUGGAGAAAACCCUAGAUCGCUUUCAUUUUUCAGCAGUAAUGGGUGCUUUAACGAUUAAUCGGAACAAGCGCGACGCAGAAUUUCAAACUUCAUCACCAUCUGUGUACGGUUACAACUCUCUACACGUUGCGAAGAAACUCAAAUCAUCAUCUUGGUCUUCGCCUCACAUUGCUCCAACGAAAACUUCAAGAAGUUCGGUUUCCAGGCUCAGCCAAUAUCCUAAGCCGGUAACCCCGAUCAAUAGAGAAGUUCAUGCUCCUUGUAUAAUUGUUAGUGGAUUUACUUCUACUGUGAAAAGACUCAAUGGUGGUUCUAGUGGGAUUGUUAGACAAAAAUCUUACAUUUCGGGUGAAAAUAUGAAUGAUCUGUUUUCGAAGUACAAACACGCGAAGGAAUCUGCAAUUGGUGCUUGCAGGCUUGUUGUGUUUGAAAAGCAGGAUAUGACGGAAGUAAUUGAUGUUGAUAAAGAGGAGAAUUUUAAAUAUGACAAGGCUGCUUCUACGAGUUCUAGUGUUGAGGAGGUUGAAAUGGUGAAAGAUGCGAUAAAACACAUUCAUAGUUCAGGGGAGGUACAAGAAAUAGCAGCCAAAUAUUGGGAAUUGGAUCAAAAGACACCCUCAACUUCUUCUGAAGUUGUAUCUGAGUUGACAAAUGGAAAGAUGUUGGAAUCUUUGUCUUUGGACCGGGGUUCAGAUGCUAUGGAUGUAGAUAUGGGUUCCCCUUUGCAUAAGAAGUUGUAUGAAUCUGCUAAAAGGAGUGAUUCUAAAUUGAGGAGGAUAAAUUUUGAUAUCGAGUUACACGAAAAGAGGAGAGCUUUAUAUCAACAAUCACAUCCUGCUAAGAAAAAGGAGGAUUUAAAUGACCCUUUUAGACCUCUUACAGAGGACGAAGAGAAAAUGGUUGAUAAUGCACUGUCUUAUUCUAAUCGGAGGAAGCCUUUUGUCAAUCAUGAAAACUCAAAUAUUACAAUCACAGGGGAAGUUCUGCAAUGUUUGAGACCUAAGGCAUGGUUAAAUGAUGAGGUCAUCAAUGUUUAUCUUGAGUUGCUAAAGGAGAGGGAAACUAGGGAUCCCCAAAAGUUUUUGAAAUGUCAUUUCUUCAACACAUUUUUCUACAAGAAGUUGAUAAGUGGAAGAACAGGGUAUGACUAUAAGUCAGUUAGAAGAUGGACUACACAGAAGAAGUUAGGAUAUGGUCUCCUUGAGUGUGACAAGAUAUUUGUUCCCAUUCAUAAAGAAAUACACUGGUGUUUGGCUGUUAUCAACAAAAAAGAAGAAAAAUUCCAGUAUCUUGACUCACUUGGAGGGGCAGAUAAGAAAGUAAUGAAAAUGUUGGCCACAUACAUCACUGAUGAGGUGAAGGACAAGACUGGAAAAAACAUCGAUGUCAGUUGUUGGAAGCAAGAAUUUGUCACUGAUCUUCCUAAUCAAGAAAACGGUAGUUGGAUUUGUUUGUGGGCAGGUAUGAUUGUGGCAUGUUCAUGAUAAAAUAUGCAGACUUUUAUAGCAGGGACAUUGGAUUGUGCUUCAAUCAGGAGCAUAUGCCAUAUUUUAGAUUGAGAACUGCCAAGGAGAUACUGAGAUUGAGAGCCGAUUGAUAACCACCAGUUAUAGGAGUCUGCAAGGAAGGAUUCAAAUUUACCAAAUUGACCUUGUGAUCCCCAAUCUGAUCAAGUACUUUUUUUUUUUUUUUUUUUUUUUGAGUUAGUAUUGAGAAAGUAGGAAGCCAAUUCACUAAGGGCUUGUUUUUUUUUGGUUUGUUUCAUUUUUUUUUUUUUUUUUAAUGUUAGUAUAUAGUAUAUAUAGUUCUGGUUUUGGUUGGCAUAUAAUCUCUAGAUAUUCAUUUUCCAUAAUAUUGUAUAAUUAGAAGAUAGUUUUGUCA